RNAcentral lists this ribosomal RNA (810 nucleotides) under uncultured Leptotrichia sp. RNAcentral describes it as "bacterial SSU rRNA". It matches the Rfam family "Bacterial small subunit ribosomal RNA", at positions 8 to 834 of the family's 1533-position model. The record is from RNAcentral. Lineage: Bacteria; Fusobacteriati; Fusobacteriota; Fusobacteriia; Fusobacteriales; Leptotrichiaceae.
AGAGUUUGAUCCUGGCUCAGGAUGAACGCUGACAGAAUGCUUAACACAUGCAAGUCUUUGGCAAAGCUGUGCUUGCACAAUCUAGCCAAGGCGGACGGGUGAGUAACGCGUAAGGAACUUGCCCUGCAGUCAGGGAUAACAGACGGAAACGACUGAUAAAACCUGAUAAAGUCAGACGGACUCAUGUCCAGUCUGAUGAAAAGAAAUGCUGCAGGAGAGCCUUGCGUCCUAUUAGCUUGUUGGUGGGGUAACGGCCCACCAAGGCGAUGAUAGGUAGCCGGCCUGAGAGGGUGGACGGCCACAAGGGGACUGAGAUACGGCCCUUACUCCUACGGGAGGCAGCAGUGGGGAAUAUUGGACAAUGGGGGCAACCCUGAUCCAGCAAUUCUGUGUGCACGAAGAAGGUUUUCGGAUUGUAAAGUGCUUUCAGCAGGGAAGAAAAAAAUGACGGUACCUGCAGAAGAAGCGACGGCUAAAUACGUGCCAGCAGCCGCGGUAAUACGUAUGUCGCAAGCGUUAUCCGGAAUUAUUGGGCAUAAAGGGCAUCUAGGCGGCCAGAUAAGUCUGGGGUGAAAACUUGCGGCUCAACCGCAAGCCUGCCCUGGAAACUAUGUGGCUAGAGUACUGGAGAGGUGGACGGAACUGCACGAGUAGAGGUAAGAUUCGUAGAUAUGUGCAGGAAUGCCAAUGAUGAAGAUAGUUCACUGGACGGUAACUGACGCUGAAGUGCGAAAGCUAGGGGAGCAAACAGGAUUAGAUACCCUGGUAGUCCUAGCUGUAAACGAUGAUUACUGGGUGUGGGCAUGAAGA